Ciona intestinalis (vase tunicate) is the source of this 1960-nucleotide non-coding RNA. The record is from RefSeq and is a predicted model, not a curated record. Lineage: Eukaryota; Metazoa; Chordata; Ascidiacea; Phlebobranchia; Cionidae.
CUAUGAGUGCGAAGCAAGAAGAUCAAAGAAUUGGUAAAGUAUAAAUUACAAUCGGCAUUAUUACGUACAUAAGCUCUUUUCUAGGAACAUCGAUGGUGUGACGUCACAGAAGCAGUGAUGACGUAACAGAAGAACCUGCUUCAACAUGGGUAUGUGACGUCACAGAAGAUCUUGUCAAUGGUUCCAGAACUUAAAGAAUGAAAGACGGAAAAAGACGAGAAAAGAAAAAAAGCGCAAGACGAAGAACAAAGACGAAGACGCCAAUAUAAGGAUCCCGGUUUGAGGUGUUUGUAGGUUUAAGUGUGUAUAGGUUUAUUUAUGCGGCGGUAUACGCGCGAAGAAAGAGGAUCAAAGAUGACGUAAGAUGUGACAUCACGAAGCUGUGAUGACGUAACGGAACAACCUACAUCACAAGGAACAAACACGAAAACGCCAAUAUAAGGAUGCCGGUUUGAGGUGCUUAUAUAAAUAAAUUUUAAGUACGAAUGUGUUUGUGUGUUAGCUGGUGCACUCUUACAGUGUUGCCAGUUAUUCUUUGCUGGACCUAAUGUUGCCAGCUAUAUGCCCCCAAGCACUUUUCAGUGCUUACAUGUCUUUGAAAUAAAUGCAAAGGAAUUGUUGCAACAAUCUUACUUGAUAAAGAUUAGCAUCUACUGUAAUGUUCAUUCCUUCCGAGUGUUUUGUCUGUCGGGACUUGAAUCUUACAGCGGUUUUGUAUUGUCUCGGUUUGCUUUGCGAGAACUCUGUCUUGGUACACAUAUACUAGAGUAAUAUCAACACGCAGUAUAAUAUACACCAACUUUCAAUCCCCGUAAUUGUUUAAAUCAAUAAAAUUUAUAAGUAAAGUCCCUAUCACGCUGUUAACUUAACUUAUUUAACACAACAUCGCGUAUGGCAUAAUUGGGACGAUGGCCACGUCACAAUUACGCUUUACGUCGAUGCGGUGGGUCAGCAACGUCAUGACCCUGCGUUCGGUGCGGUUACGUCACGGUCGGUUUAGUUACGUUACUGCUGCGGGUUUGUUACGUGGACGUCGCCGCUUAGCGGUACGUAACAGCCACAGUAUGUCGUAACGGUCGAUGCGGUGCGGAACAGCCGGACGAUAUUAUAUUGUGUGAAAAUACAACGAGAGUAUCGCGGUACCAAGAUGUUUCUUAAUAGGCGUUUGGAUUGGCGACGUAAAAGAGCUUUCAAGUCACACUAGGGGGGUUUUCUGUAAGAUUUUUGUGCCGUCCUAAAUAUGCUUGUUGGUGUGAUUGUGUUUAUUAUUAUUGUUUAUGUGCACUACUAACUUUGAUGUUUUUCUUGGUUUCUUUUCCUUGCGGAUAUAUCCAGCAAGGGUUUCUCACCUAAGAAGUAGAAACCCACUACCAUUGGCUGGGGGCUUGUCGUGCCGUAGUGGCUUUCCACCAACGCCAGCCACAUAAACUAUGAAGGUAUUUUAAUCCUGUUUCUAUUUUGCAGAAAUGGAAUUCCUUUAUAUGCUACAAUCUUUAAAGGUUCCGUCCCGGUUGAAAAUUAACAGAUUCAGAACAAAGUUUUUUUUCACAUUUGCUGUUUUGUAUUUAACUGUUUUGUAUUUAACUAAGUUUGUAUUUAACUAAGUUUGUAAUAUCGCAUCCAUAAUAUCGCAUCCAUAAUAUCGCAUCCACAUAAACCACUCUCAUCUUCAACAAAGUUUAAAUAUCUCCACAAUUUCUCGUCAAGAUUUUCUUUUCUUUUUAACAACAUUUUCAUCAGCUGCUUCUUUCUCUCGAUGCUUUUUCCGUUUCUUCUUUUUUUUCGUCGAAUCAGUUUUAAGCACUGGCUGUUCUGACACUGAAUUAUCCUUCCUUGGUUUCAGUGUAGGGGAAUCCCCCUUACAAAUUGCCUUUUUCUUUUUUUUUUUCUUUUUCGCAGGUGCUUCAACUUGAGAGACCUGAAAUAAAUACUUCCAAAUUAUACCAAUUUGAAAAACCCA